AGUACACCCUAGCAGUCUCUUUCUUCCUCCAUUUCUCCUCUAAAACCCUAAUUUCUCUCUAAAACCCUAAAAGCAGCUAUGGAGUUUUGGGGUGCUGAGGUGAAAAGUGGAGAGCCAUUAACUGUACAGCCUGGAGAUGGGAUGGUUUUGCAUCUUUCACAGGCAUCUCUUGGUGAGGUGAAAAAGGAUAAAGCAUCAGAACCUGUAUGCUUGUCUGUAACUAUUGAUGGCAAGAAGCUUGUUCUUGGCACACUCAGCUUAGAUAAGCUGCCUCAACAACAAUUUGACCUGGUUUUUGAUAGAGACUUUGAACUAUCACACAACUGGAAAAAUGGUAGCGUCUACUUUUUUGGAUACAAGGCUGCCAACCCAUUCGAGGAUGAGGAGGAUGUAGAUGAAGUUGAAGAUGAGUCUGAUGAGGAAAUACCCCUUUCAAUUGCAAACAAUGGAAAGACUGAAGCCAAGGCUAGUGCAAAGGAUUCUGCUUCAACUAAGCAGAAGGUGAGGGUUAUAGAGUUUACUAAAGUUGACAAGGCGGAAGAUCAAGAUGAGAGCACUGAUGAGUCUGCGGAUGAAGAUGAUUCUAUGAUGGGGGAGGAUGAAGAAGGUGAUAGUGAUGAAGAUCAAGAUGAGAGCACUGAUGAGUCUGCGGAUGAAGAUGAUUCUAUGAUGGGGGAGGAUGAAGAAGGUGAUAGUGAU
RNAcentral lists this unclassified non-coding RNA (699 nucleotides) under Hevea brasiliensis (rubber tree). The record is from RNAcentral. Lineage: Eukaryota; Viridiplantae; Streptophyta; Magnoliopsida; Malpighiales; Euphorbiaceae.